UACAGAGGGUGCGAACGUUGCUCGGAAUUACUGAGCGUAAAGCGCGUGUAGACGGAACGAUAAGUCGGAAAUGAAAUCCCCGGGCUCAACCCGGGAACUGCUUUCGAAACUGCCGUUCUCGAGUACCGGAGAGGGUGGCGGAAUUCCUGGUGUAGAGGUGAAAUUCGUAGAUAUCAGAAGGAACACCGGUGGCGAAGGCGGCCACCUGGACGGUCACUAACGCUAAAACGCGAAAGCGUAGGGAGCAAAC
RNAcentral lists this ribosomal RNA (250 nucleotides) under uncultured bacterium. RNAcentral describes it as "partial 16S ribosomal RNA". It matches the Rfam family "Bacterial small subunit ribosomal RNA", at positions 524 to 773 of the family's 1533-position model. The record is from RNAcentral.